Molecule: long non-coding RNA, 367 nt
Organism: Helianthus annuus (common sunflower)
Lineage: Eukaryota; Viridiplantae; Streptophyta; Magnoliopsida; Asterales; Asteraceae
Exons: 3
Source: RefSeq, a predicted model, not a curated record
UUACACACAUGUGUGUGUUGAAGUCGAUCAGGGGAAAAGGCCAGGAGGAGAAAACCUUCACUUGACCUAAAUCAUCAAAUUGAAAGGCAAUUGGGGCUAGAAUUCGUGCAUGUGUGUAGAUCAUAGAUCAUCCAUACAAGAUUAACAUAAGGCAACUCGAGUGAAGCUUCGGGAAGUCAAGCCAGGGUGAACGCACGACUAAAGGAAAAGCUUUAAGGUUAUCUCUAUGAGCAAACGGAUGAGAUCAAGCUAUGGAAGAACCGAACACAAGUAAAGAUCAAGCUUCCGUGUUGUUUAGUCAUUUUGCUAAUCUAAACAUUGUAAAUCAGUAGAAAUGUCCAUUUGAAUAUUUAUGAACUUUUAAAUA